Molecule: non-coding RNA, 3575 nt
Organism: Arachis ipaensis
Lineage: Eukaryota; Viridiplantae; Streptophyta; Magnoliopsida; Fabales; Fabaceae
Source: RefSeq, a predicted model, not a curated record
AUGACUACUUGACUUGGUAGCUAGCGCCAACUGACCUUAGGGUUCAUUCAAGUUAAAACUUGAAACAAGCUUGCUGAGAAGCCAUUUGUUGCGGGGUUGAAGACGAAAGGAAUCGAAGAAAAAAUGCCAACGUACAAGAUCAGGGGAAUCGACGUCGAUUUCCCGUACGAAGCCUACGAUUCGCAGAUCGUUUACAUGGACAAAGUCAUCCAAUCCCUUCAGGAGAACUGCAAUGCACUGUUGGAGAGUCCCACAGGAACUGGUAAAACGUUGUGUCUUCUCUGUGCUACCUUGGCGUGGCGCAGGAGUUUCGGAAAUUUCAGAUUUGGUUUGAGCAUGAACGCCAGUGAUAAGUCCGAGGCUAAAACCGAGAUUUCGCCUUCGUCCCUGCCAUCGUCCCCGCCCUCGCAAUCUGAGUCCUCAGGUUUACCUACAAUAGUAUAUACUUCGCGCACUCACAGCCAGAUCCGUCAGGUGAUUCAAGAGCUGAAACGAUCGUCUUACAGGCCUAAGAUGAUAGUAUUAGGAUCUAGGGAGCAGCUUUGCAUUCAUGAUAAAGUGAAGUCACUUCACGGGAAAACACAAACAAAUGCUUGUCGAGCACUCUGCCAAAAGCGUAGAGGGAAGCAACGAUGCAAUCAUUUACCUCAAGUUGCUGAUUACUUGAAGAGCAAUCCUCAUCUUGGAGAAGAACCUGUAGAUAUUGAGGAUUUGGUCAAUAUUGGCAAGAGUUUUGGGCCGUGUCCUUAUUAUUUAUCAAAGGAGCUCCAUAAGUCUGUGGAUAUAGUAUUUGCUCCAUACAACUAUCUUAUUGAUCAUGCGUAUAGAAAAUCUCUGCAACUUUCAUGGAGCAAUAGCAUACUCAUAUUUGAUGAAGCUCACAACCUUGAAGGCAUAUGUGCUGAUGCAGCCUCCUUUGAUUUGCCUUCGUGGCUUCUAACAGCUUGCAUUUCUGAGGCUCAAAAAUGUGUUGACCUUUCAAUAGAAAGAAGAGAAAAAUCAAAUGAUAAGUCACAGAAUCCAGAUGAUUUUGCAAUCCUUAGAGCACUUCUUCUAAAACUUGAAAAGCGGAUUGCUCAGGUGCCUAUCGAAUCAAAGGAGUUGGGAUACACCAAACCUGGGCCUUAUAUAUAUGAACUGCUAGCUGAUCUUAACAUCACUUCCAAGACUUUUAAAAAGCUUUCCGCGAUAAUUGCUGCUGCUUCAACCCUUAUUGAGGAGGAUAACCAGCAGAAAUCAACUGGUACCAUCUGCAGGUUGGAUAGCAUUGGUGAAAUUCUUGACAUUGUUUUCAAGGGUGGAAGAACUACUCAUGCUACAUACUAUCGAGUUCAUGUGCGGGAGUUCGAAGCUAGGACUGCCAAUGGAUCUAAAGGAAAUGUGUCAAGGACACUCAGCUGGUGGUGUUUUAAUCCUGGAAUAGCCAUGGAAGAAUUUCAUAGGUUGGGAGUCAGGUCUAUUAUAUUGACAUCAGGGACAUUAUCCCCCAUGGAUUCUUUUGCUCAGGAACUGAAACUAGAUUUCCCCAUUCAGCUGGAAAAUCCACAUGUAAUAACCCCAAAUCAGAUAUGGGCUGGAGUUGUACCAGUUGGUCCUUCAGGACGUAUUUUUAACUCCUCCUACCGCACUCGCGAUUCUCAAGAGUACAGGCAGGAACUUGGAAAUGCAAUUGUAAAUUUGGCCCGAAUUGUUCCUGAUGGACUUCUUGUAUUCUUCCCCUCUUACUACCUUCUGGACCAAUGCAUUGGGUGCUGGAAAAGCUUGAGUAAUGAAACUUCAAUGUCCAUAUGGGAGAGAAUUUGCAAACACAAAAAACCAGUUAUAGAACCUAGGGAAUCUUCAUUAUUUCCCUCAUCAAUCAAGGAUUACAUAUCUAAGUUGAAAGACACCUCCACAUCUGGAGCAGUUUUCUUUGCUGUUUGUCGUGGUAAGGUAAGUGAAGGAUUAGAUUUUGCGGAUCAUGCUGGACGAGCUGUGGUAAUUACUGGUUUGCCAUAUGCUACAUAUACUGAUCCUAAGGUUCGUCUAAAACGUGAAUACUUGGAUCAGCAAUCUCAUCCACGCGGAGAAUCAUUCAAGGUUUUAACUGGAGAUGAGUGGUAUAACCAACAAGCCUCCCGAGCUGUGAAUCAAGCUGUUGGACGUGUCAUUCGUCAUCGACAUGACUAUGGAGCAAUUAUUUUCUGUGAUGAAAGGUUUGCACAUCCACAUCGUCAGUCCCAAGUCUCUCGAUGGAUACAACCUCACAUCAAGUGUUUCUCAAGAUUUGGAGAAGUUGUUUAUACACUAACCCGGUUUUUCCGAGAUGUAACAAUCCGUGGACCUACAAAGCUAUCAUUAUUAGAGGUUGAUGAUGGGGGAAAUGUGGGAGAAAUUACAUCAGCUGAUCCCUAUGAUGAUAAAUUUAAUGUCAAAAAACUUCUCUCACCUGUGGCUACACCAGUGGCUGAAAGUUUUUCUUCAAAAGCUUCUUUACUUGGUACUAGAAAAGGCAGUACUUCAUUCCUUGGAGAAAUUGUACCUGCUAAUCGAUCAUCUCUGGCGUCUGAUGAUUGCAACAUUGUAGAUUGUGCAAGUUCAAGAGAUAAAUGUGGCAGAGUUUUUCUUGGAAAGAAGACUGGGAUAUCACAAGAACAUGAAUUUGUUGAUUUGACUGAUACUCGUCAACUGGGUGAAAAAUCAAAGGAUACGCUGAUAGCACCUUGUUCAGUCAAGAAACGUAGAUUUAUAACAGGAGAGUACAACCUGCAGCAACAUUUUAGAGAUUCUCACGAGCCUUCAUCUGGUAGCGGAGAAUUGCAAUGUAAGGAUGAAGGGACCUUCCAAAAGAGAAGUCUGGAGAUCGAUAGUCAAAGAGGUGAUCUUCCUGGUGAUUCUGCACCUUCUGCUAGUAAUGAAACCCAAGGAUCAGCAUUCCUUGCUCAGGUUCGAGAGAAGCUCAGUGCUUCAGAAUAUAUAGACUUUGUGGGUUAUAUGAAGGCACUAAAGACCAAAGCAAUGAAGAUCGGUGAAGUUUUGCAGUGCAUUUGUAGACUGUUCUCAGGACCCGAGAGACUACCUCUACUUAAAAGGUUUAAGGAUUACAUCCCAGCAAAAUAUCAUUCCUUGUAUGAGCAUUAUGUUGGGGAGAAAAAGUUAGUGGAAGGCUAAUCAAAUAUGCUCAGCUCAUGGCUAUCUCUUGCAAUUUUUCGGCUAGAACUCAGGUUGUCAUGCUUUUACCUCUUAAGUCAAUUCACAAACGGGUUGUGAAGUCCUUCUUACCAUUGUACUAAUUCAUAAUCUAAGGAGAGGAUAUGCUUGGGCCUUGGUGCAAUUGCAACUAUGGGAGUGAAUGGAAGAUUGUUUUCCCCAAUUUGGAGGAUGGAGGCACCGUCCGAAUAUUUUCCCACCAAUUUCCUUGUGAGAUCACUGGUCGUUCAAUUUGGAGGGUGUAGAAGGCUUCAUGGGAUUGCUUUCCACCAUUUGACACGUGAGAUUCUGUGCCCCAAUUUGGAGGGUGUAGGAGGCACCGUUGGGGGAAAAAUCCAAAUAUAUUAAGGUUUAGUCUUAAACAAUAAACAGACUAAAACAAAGGA